GAGGAAAAGAAACUAACAAGGAUUCCCCUAGUAACUGCGAGUGAAGCGGGAAAAGCUCAAAUUUAAAAUCUGGCGGUCUUUGGCUGUCCGAGUUGUAAUCUAGAGAAGUGUUGCCCGCGCUGGACCGUGUACAAGUCUCCUGGAAUGGAGCGUCAUAGAGGGUGAGAAUCCCGUCUCUGACACGGACUCCCAGGGCUUUGUGGUACGCUCUCAAAGAGUCGAGUUGUUUGGGAAUGCAGCUCAAAAUGGGUGGUAAAUUCCAUCUAAAGCUAAAUAUUGGCGAGAGACCGAUAGCGAACAAGUACCGUGAGGGAAAGAUGAAAAGAACUUUGGAAAGAGAGUUAAACAGUACGUGAAAUUGCUGAAAGGGAAACGCUUGAAGUCAGUCACGUUGGCUGGGAAUCAGCCUCGCUCUUUUGCGUGGUGUACUUUCUGGUUGAUGGGUCAGCAUCAAUUUUGACCGCUGGAAAAAGGCUUGAGGAAUGUGGCAGCUUCGGCUGUGUUAUAGCUUCAUGUCACAUACAGCGGUUGGGAUUGAGGAACUCAGCACGCCGCAAGGCCGGGUCUUUGACCACGUUCGUGCUUAGGAUGCUGGCAUAAUGGCUUUAAGCGACCCGUCUUGAAACACGGACCAAGGAGUCUAACAUGCCUGCGAGUGUUUGGGU
This 665-nucleotide ribosomal RNA is filed under the name Neosericeomyces sericatellus. RNAcentral's name for it is "Leucocoprinus sericifer eukaryotic LSU rRNA". It matches the Rfam family "Eukaryotic large subunit ribosomal RNA", at positions 53 to 699 of the family's 3401-position model. The record is from RNAcentral. Lineage: Eukaryota; Fungi; Basidiomycota; Agaricomycetes; Agaricales; Mycenaceae.